UUAGAUGUAGCUCAAUGGUAGAGCACUUAUGUAAAUUGUGUGAGGUCCUGGGUUCAGUCCCCAGCCCCUCAA
RNAcentral lists this transfer RNA (72 nucleotides) under Marmota monax (woodchuck). RNAcentral's name for it is "tRNA.Leu". Lineage: Eukaryota; Metazoa; Chordata; Mammalia; Rodentia; Sciuridae. The record is from RNAcentral.